This 565-nucleotide ribosomal RNA is filed under the name uncultured bacterium. Its description in RNAcentral is "partial 16S ribosomal RNA". It matches the Rfam family "Bacterial small subunit ribosomal RNA", at positions 355 to 914 of the family's 1533-position model. The record is from RNAcentral.
UGGGGAAUUUUGGACAAUGGGCGAAAGCCUGAUCCAGCAAUGCCGCGUGUGUGAAGAAGGCCUUCGGGUUGUAAAGCACUUUUGUCCGGAAAGAAAUCCUUGGCUCUAAUACAGUCGGGGGAUGACGGUACCGGAAGAAUAAGCACCGGCUAACUACGUGCCAGCAGCCGCGGUAAUACGUAGGGUGCAAGCGUUAAUCGGAAUUACUGGGCGUAAAGCGUGCGCAGGCGGUUUGCUAAGACCGAUGUGAAAUCCCCGGGCUCAACCUGGGAACUGCAUUGGUGACUGGCAGGCUAGAGUAUGGCAGAGGGGGGUAGAAUUCCACGUGUAGCAGUGAAAUGCGUAGAGAUGUGGAGGAAUACCGAUGGCGAAGGCAGCCCCUGGGCCAAUACUGACGCUCAUGCACGAAAGCGUGGGGAGCAAACAGGAUUAGAUACCCUGGUAGUCCACGCCCUAAACGAUGUCAACUAGUUGUUGGGGAUUCAUUUCCUUAGUAACGUAGCUAACGCGUGAAGUUGACCGCCUGGGGAGUACGGUCGCAAGAUUAAAACUCAAAGGAAUUGAC